AACGAACGCUGGCGGCGCGCCUAAUACAUGCAAGUCGAGCGAGAAGACGUAGCAAUACGUUUGUAAAGCGGCGAACGGGUGAGGAAUACAUGGGUAACCUACCCUCGAGUGGGGAAUAACUAGCCGAAAGGUUAGCUAAUACCGCGUACGCUCCUUGGACUUCGGUUCAGGGAGGAAAGCGAUACCGUGGGUAUCGCGCUCUUGGAUGGGCUCAUGUCCUAUCAGCUUGUUGGUGAGGUAACGGCUCACCAAGGCUUCGACGGGUAGCUGGUCUGAGAGGACGAUCAGCCACACUGGCACUGCGACACGGGCCAGACUCCUACGGGAGGCAGCAGUAAGGAAUAUUGCGCAAUGGGCGAAAGCCUGACGCAGCGACGCCGCGUGGGGGAUGAAGGUCUUCGGAUUGUAAACCCCUUUCGGGAGGGAAGAUGGAACGAGCAAUCGUUCGGACGGUACCUCCAGAAGCAGCCACGG
This 474-nucleotide ribosomal RNA is filed under the name uncultured bacterium. RNAcentral describes it as "bacterial SSU rRNA". It matches the Rfam family "Bacterial small subunit ribosomal RNA", at positions 29 to 496 of the family's 1533-position model. The record is from RNAcentral.